RNAcentral lists this transfer RNA (60 nucleotides) under Ictidomys tridecemlineatus (thirteen-lined ground squirrel). Its description in RNAcentral is "Spermophilus tridecemlineatus (thirteen-lined ground squirrel) tRNA". It matches the Rfam family "tRNA", at positions 1 to 62 of the family's 71-position model. Rfam says of the family: Transfer RNA (tRNA) molecules are approximately 80 nucleotides in length. Their secondary structure includes four short double-helical elements and three loops (D, anti-codon, and T loops). Further hydrogen bonds mediate the characteristic L-shaped molecular structure. tRNAs have two regions of fundamental functional importance: the anti-codon, which is responsible for specific mRNA codon recognition, and the 3' end, to which the tRNAs corresponding amino acid is attached (by aminoacyl-tRNA synthetases). tRNAs cope with the degeneracy of the genetic code in two manners: having more than one tRNA (with a specific anti-codon) for a particular amino acid; and 'wobble' base-pairing, i.e. permitting non-standard base-pairing at the 3rd anti-codon position. Lineage: Eukaryota; Metazoa; Chordata; Mammalia; Rodentia; Sciuridae. The record is from Rfam by way of RNAcentral.
GGGGGUGUAGCUCAGUGGUAGAGCACUUGCCUCACAUGCAUGAAGCCAUGGGUUCCCCCU